RNAcentral lists this non-coding RNA (97 nucleotides) under Chryseobacterium sp. RNAcentral describes it as "TPP sequence". It matches the Rfam family "TPP riboswitch aptamer (THI element)". From Rfam's summary of the family: Vitamin B(1) in its active form thiamin pyrophosphate (TPP) is an essential coenzyme that is synthesised by coupling of pyrimidine and thiazole moieties in bacteria. The previously detected thiamin-regulatory element, thi box was extended, resulting in a new, highly conserved RNA secondary structure, the THI element, which is widely distributed in eubacteria and also occurs in some archaea. Analysis of operon structures identified a large number of new candidate thiamin-regulated genes, mostly transporters, in various prokaryotic organisms. Lineage: Bacteria; Pseudomonadati; Bacteroidota; Flavobacteriia; Flavobacteriales; Weeksellaceae. The record is from RNAcentral.
UCCAAACUUUAGGGGUGUCUGCGAGAAGCGGACUGAGAUUUUACCCUUUGAACCUGAUCUGGAUUAUACCAGCGUAGGGAAAAGUGAGAUGACUUUU